Molecule: ribosomal RNA, 478 nt
Filed under: uncultured bacterium
Lineage: Bacteria
Description: partial 16S ribosomal RNA
Rfam family: Bacterial small subunit ribosomal RNA
Source: RNAcentral
GACGAACGCUGGCGGCGUGCUUAACACAUGCAAGUCGAACGGUAAGGCCCUUCGGGGUACACGAGUGGCGAACGGGUGAGUAACACGUGGGUGAGCUGCCCUGCACUUCGGGAUAAGCAUGGGAAACUGGGUCUAAUACCGGAUAGGACCACUGCCUGCAUGGGUGGGGGUGGAAAGCUUUUGCGGUGUGGGAUGGGCCCGCGGCCUAUCAGCUUGUUGGUGGGGUGAUGGCCUACCAAGGCGACGACGGGUAGCCGGCCUGAGAGGGUGACCGGCCACACUGGGACUGAGAUACGGCCCAGACUCCUACGGGAGGCAGCAGUGGGGAAUAUUGCACAAUGGGCGCAAGCCUGAUGCAGCGACGCCGCGUGAGGGAUGACGGCCUUCGGGUUGUAAACCUCUUUCAGCACCGACGAAGCGCAAGUGACGGUAGGUGCAGAAGAAGGACCGGCCAACUACGUGCCAGCCGCCGCCGUAA